This 2823-nucleotide ribosomal RNA is filed under the name metagenome. RNAcentral describes it as "bacterial LSU rRNA". It matches the Rfam family "Bacterial large subunit ribosomal RNA". The record is from RNAcentral.
GAAAGUAAAGAAGGGCGCACGGCGGAUGCCUAGGCUCUCAGAGGCGAAGAAGGACGCGACAAGCUGCGAAAAGCUGCGGGGAGGUGCACAUAACCUGUGAUCCGCAGAUCUCCGAAUGGGGCAACCCACCAGGUUGAAGGCCUGGUAUCCUGGAGCAAUUCAGGAGGCAAACCCGUUGAACUGAAACAUCUUAGUAGGCGGAGGAGAAGAAAACAAAAGUGAUUCCCCCAGUAGCGGCGAGCGAAGCGGGAAUAGCCCAAACCAAUUCUGUUUAGGCAGGGUUGGGGUAGUAGGACUGCAUAAAGAUAAUAUUAAUACGAAGUGGAAGCAUCUGGAAAGUUGCAUCAUAGAGGGUUAAAGUCCCGUACACGUAAGUAUGAUAUUACGAGCAGUAUCCUGAGUAACGCGGGACACGAGGAAUCUUGCGUGAAUCUGCCGGGACCAUCCGGUAAGGCUAAAUACUCCUGAGAGACCGAUAGUGAACCAGUACCGUGAGGGAAAGGUGAAAAGCACCCCUAACAGGGGAGUGAAAUAGUACCUGAAACCGUGCGCUUACAAACUGUUGGAGCCCUUUAGUGGGGUGACAGCGUGCCUUUUGCAUAAUGAGCCUACGAGUUAUUCCUUGCCAGCGAGGUUAAGUGUUGUUAGACACGGAGCCGAAGCGAAAGCGAGUCUUGAAAGGGCGCUAAGUUGGCAGGGAUAGACGCGAAACCUAGUGAUCUACCCAUGGUCAGGUUGAAGUUUCGGUAACACGAAAUGGAGGACCGAACCGGUAAACGUUGAAAAGUUUUCGGAUGAACUGUGGGUAGGGGUGAAAGGCCAAUCAAACUGGGAAAUAGCUCGUACUCCCCGAAAUGCAUUUAGGUGCAGCCUCGAUUAAGAGUUAUCCAGAGGUAGAGCUACUGAUAGGACGCGAGGGCUUCACCGCCUAUCAAAUCCUGACAAACUCCGAAUGCUGGAUAAUGUUUUUCGAGAGUGAGGGCAUGGGUGCUAAGGUCCGUGUCCGAGAGGGAAAGAACCCAGACCAUCAGCUAAGGUCCCCAAAUGUAUGCUAAGUUGAAGAAAACGCGGUAUGGUUGCAGAGACAGCUAGGAUGUUGGCUUGGAAGCAGCCAUUCAUUUAAAGAGUGCGUAACAGCUCACUAGUCGAGCGACCGUGCAUGGAUAAUAAUCGGGCAUCAAGCAUACUACCGAAGCUAUGGAAUGAUACUUAUGUAUCAUUGGUAGGGGAGCAUUCCAGUCAGCGUCGAAGCAGUAUCGUGAGGUAUUGUGGAGCGUCUGGAAAAGCAAAUGUAGGCAUAAGUAACGAUAAUGGGGGUGAGAAACCCCCACGCCGAAAGACCAAGGAUUCCUGAUCAACGUUAAUCGGAUCAGGGUUAGUCGGGCCCUAACACGUACCCGUUAGGGGAAGUGGAUGGCAAACAGGUUAAUAUUCCUGUACCCGUUAUACAACAAAAGUGACGUAUAAGAGAGAUGUCUGGGUGCUGACGGAAUAGCACGCUGAGCUUAGGUUUCGGCCGAAGCGAAGGCAAGCAUCUUGUACCGAGAAAAGCGAGUAUAACGGCUCGUACCGUAAACGGACACACGUAGUUGGGUUGAGUAUACUAAGGCGCUCGAGUGAUCCACGGCUAAGGAACUCGGCAAAUUAACCCUGUAACUUCGGGAGAAAGGGUUCCUGUUAAGCGAUUGACAGGACGCAGAGAAAUGGCCCAGGCGACUGUUUAACAAAAACACAUGGCUAUGCAAAAUCGAAAGAUUAAGUAUAUGGCCUGACACCUGCCCGGUGCUGGAAGGUUAAGAGGAGAUGUCAGGAGCAAUCCAAAGCAUUGAAUUGAAGCCCCAGUAAACGGCGGCCGUAACUAUAACGGUCCUAAGGUAGCGAAAUUCCUUGUCGGGUAAGUUCCGACCUGCACGAAUGGUGUAACGAUCUGGGCACUGUCUCAGCCGUGAGCUCGGUGAAAUUGUAAUACCGGUGAAGAUGCCGGUUACCCGCAACGGGACGGAAAGACCCCGUGAACCUUUACUGCAACUUAGCAUUGAUUUUGGGUAAGUUAUGUGUAGGAUAGGCCGGAGACUAUGAAGUGGUGCCGCCAGGUAUCAUGGAGUCGCCGUUGAAAUACGGCCCUUGACUUGCCUGAAGUCUAAUCCCUCAGAGAGAGGGAGACAUUGCUUGGUGGGUAGUUUGACUGGGGUGGUCGCCUCCAAAAGAGUAACGGAGGCUCCCAAAGGUACCCUCAUGACGUUUGGCAAUCGUCAGUAGAGUGUAAUGGCACAAGGGUGCUUGACUGUGAGACCGACAAGUCGAACAGGUAGGAAACUAGGGCAUAGUGAUCCGGUGGUUCCGCAUGGAAGGGCCAUCGCUCAAAGGAUAAAAGGUACUCCGGGGAUAACAGGCUGAUCGCCGCCAAGAGCUCACAUCGACGCGGCGGUUUGGCACCUCGAUGUCGGCUCGUCACAUCCUGGGGCUGGAGAAGGUCCCAAGGGUUCGGCUGUUCGCCGAUUAAAGUGGCACGCGAGCUGGGUUCAGAACGUCGUGAGACAGUUCGGUCCCUAUCUGUUGUGGGCGCAGGAGAUUUGAGAGACCCUGUCAUUAGUACGAGAGGACCGUGAUGGACAAACCUCUGGUGUAUCAGUUGUACCGCCAGGUGCAGCGCUGAGUAGCUAUGUUUGGAAGGGAUAAGUGCUGAAAGCAUCUAAGCACGAAGCCUGUCUCAAGAUUAGAUCUCCAUAUAAGGGGCGUUAAAGACUAUGACGUUGAUAGGCUGCAGGUAUAAAGGUGGUAACAUCAAAGCCGAGCAGUACUAAUUACCCGAGACUUUCAGAG